This 138-nucleotide unclassified non-coding RNA is filed under the name Capnocytophaga canimorsus. The record is from RNAcentral. Lineage: Bacteria; Pseudomonadati; Bacteroidota; Flavobacteriia; Flavobacteriales; Flavobacteriaceae.
AGUAAUAUGUUAAAUAUAAAAUAUAUUAUUUAUUAUUGAAACAUAUUUUUAUAUUUAGUGUUUUAAUAUAAAAAAUAAAAAUACAUUAUAUGAAUAUUUUUUAUAAUAAAAUUCUUUAUAUGAAUAUAAUUUUAUAUA